Molecule: long non-coding RNA, 5173 nt
Organism: Strigops habroptila (Kakapo)
Lineage: Eukaryota; Metazoa; Chordata; Aves; Psittaciformes; Psittacidae
Exons: 2
Source: RefSeq, a predicted model, not a curated record
CCCGCGUGUUGCGGUUUGCCCUCGGUUUCCCUCGCCUGGGCCGGUCCGCUCCGCUCCGCUCCCCGGCCGGAGGGGCUCUCCCCGCCUAGGGGAGCCGGAGCCCGGGCCGUUGCGGGAGAAGGAGCGGGGCCGGGUGGUGUGGCGCCCCGGGACACCCCGGGAGCUGGGGCUUCUCGCCUCCGGUAGGGACCGAGCCGGUCUUACCAAGUGCCUGCUCCGCAGGGUAGGGACAGGAGUUUUGCUAUUAACAUAAGUACGAACGGGCUCCUGUCGGGAGGGGGCCGGGAGGUAGCCCGAGCUCCGAGCGAAGUUAGUUCUGAGAGGUUUGAGGUAGGCAGGUAAGAAGCUGAUCGCUGGCGUAAUUCGCCACCACCAGAGGAGCAGUGCUGGUGUCGGGUACUGCCGGCCGACCCCAGGGCUUUCCCCAAGACUUGGGAUGUUAGCAUAACGUCUGUCUGGGUGGAGAAACGGAAGGAAAGAUGGCUUGAGGGGAGAUUUAGGCUGGAUGUGAGGGAAAUAUUCUUUACAAUGAGGGCGGUGAAAUGCUUGCACAUGUUGCCCAGAGAGGUGGAUGCACCAUCCCUGGAGGCACUCAAGGCCAGGCUGGAUGUGGUUCUGGGCGACCUGAUCUAGUUGAAGAUAUCCCUGCUCAUUGGAACUAGAUGAGCUUUGAAGGUCCCUUCUAACCCAAACUAUUCUGUGAUUCCAUGAAACUCCUCAGUAUGGGAUAGGAAAUAGGAAAUCAGGAGAGGCAGUAUCGAGUGAGAUAAUCAAAAGAAAAAAGCAGUGCAAUAAAAAGGAUUGCAAAAGCAGAUAAAGAGCAAAGAUGAAAGAACGAGUAAAUGAGGAUCCAAGGGCAAAUGGGAACGCGUAUUUGUGAGGAUAUUAGUAAGCAGUUGGCCUCGAUGUAGUAAACUGAAGUGGGGGAAGGGUGAUCAUGGUUGCUACUCUGAUUUUUGUAAGGAAUGAAGGCCUGUUGCAAAUAGGCUCAGUUACAACACCCUGUCAGUGUCAGGGAGUGUUGGUAAGGUGGCCUCCCGUCUUCCCCAAAAGCAGCAGCAGUAAUACAUCACUCUUGAGACUUGCUGCCUUUAUACGCUUCUCUAAGUGACAGGUGACUGGAAGAGAAUCCAAAGGAGACCAUCAAGAACAAGCAGAGAUUUCAGAAGUGUUUCCUGUGAGAGUAAUGGGAAAGGACUGGGAAUUAUUUCUUCUAGAGCUGAUUGAGGGGAAAAUAGAAUCCAUGUGUAGAGAGUUACUGCAGAGAGGAUGUCCUGAUAGGAAGAGAAGUGAUUGGCUUGCAUUGCAACAAGGGAGAUUUAGGUGAAAUGCUGGAAAACACAUUAGUGGGAAAGAUAAUCUAGCAUGGACAGACAUCAUGACCAAAGAAUUUCUGAGAGUGGUCAUGAGUUACAUAAACUUUUCUCAGGUGUUAUUUAGUUAGCACUGAUUUAGAUGUGGAAAAAUAAACUAGAAGACCCUUUUUGUUUUAUCUCAAUGUGAUAGAUCUGAUUAUGAAGAUGCAGUGUGUUUAUACAUGCAAAGAAAAAUACUUAAUCCCAAAUUACUAUUUUAUCAUGUGAUUAUCUUUCUAGCUUAUAAAUAAAUCCUCAUGAGCCAAACAGAACAUCAGUUAACAAAAUCAGAAAAAUUCUCAUGUAUACACUGCAAAUCCUACAGACUUGAUUGACAGAGAAACCAAGCCUAAGCUUAUACACCAGUCAUCAGUUCACUAUAAACACGAGUCUUUUGGCCAUUGUGUAGCCUUAUGGCACAUUAAUUUUAUGACAUAAAAUGAAGAUGAAGAUUGAACAAUAGUAAAAUGCAAGUAGAAUACAAGUCCUGUAACACAUGCCUUCUAGCCUAUAUAGCAGUCAUCAUGUUGCAGAGAUUUUUCUAGCAAGACCUAUUUCUAAAAGGAAGUUCAGUUUUAUAUUGGAAUAUAUAUCUAAUGCAGUGUUAGCUAUCUUCCAAAAUAGUCAGCAGGAACUAACAUGGCAAGGUGGAAGGAAAAAGCUCAAAGUAUUCUGAUGGGGGAAAACAUCAUGUGGUACCUAAUAAGUCUGGUUUCAAAAAGUGAAGUGAGCUUCUUCACAGAAGUGCAGUUGUAUCUUCAGUUAAAUGCUGUUGAAAAAAUAAUUUCUGUAAAACUUUUAUGAAAAAAUAAUCAAUCUUGGACUCGGGCUUUGACCCUGAGAAGUGCUGAGCACCACAUUUUAAUCAUCUAUUGUUUAUGUCUGUGCAACUUAAUGAGUUUGAGCAUUUUAAUGUAUGAUUGCCACCUGCUAAAUUCAAUAGUUUAUGGCACUAGCAGUCAACAAACUCUGAAGGUGGAAUUGAUAUAAAAUAUUUGUUCACUAGUAGAUAUUAGCAAAAUAGGAAUUUAAAAUUUAAAUACCCAUGAAUAUGCCUGUUUCCAAAUGUAUCUGAAUGGAAUUAGUAGGGUUUUUUUCAGAAUUGUAUAGUCAGCUGCAUAGAUACAAGUUGUUCAUUAUCAACAGAAGCAUUAUCUUGUAUAUCUGUUAGUCAUACCACUUUAAUUUCAGGUCUUAUUAGUUAAAUAGAUUCUGGCAAAGAUAAUACUUGUUUAGAAGUCCUGCAGAAAGCAGUGCUAUUCAUUCAGUAGCAGUACAUAGGAACAGUAUGGCCAGUAUUCUUGCAUUAUGGUUUGAAUGACCUGAACACUGGAUGUUUUAUGAAAGGUGCCCUAAAGCAAAGAGGCCUAGCAGUAUGUCAGUGACCAAGACAAUCUACAACAGUUUGCCACAUCAGAAUAACUUCAUUCAUUAAAAGAACAAAGUGCAUGGUGUGUUUGUUCACCCCUUGUUCCCCUCAUCUUGCCCAAUUGCUGUACUUUUUAAUAACCAUAUGUGAAAGGCUGACUUAUGUUUAUUAGCAAGAAGGUAGUUGUACUAAUCUGCAAUUUUUACUGAUAUAAGGCACCCAGAUAGCUCUGUUUAAGAAAAUUAAUUGGGGGGGGGAGGAGGGAAAUUACCCUUCAAAUGAAAGUUGAGAAACUGAUAAAGCAUUCUAUAUCUCUAAAAGCACUGAAGGAGAUUAUAUUACUCGUACAGCAUUAUGUUUCAACACUAGUUUUCCAUGGAACAAAGUUGUUACAGAGGGCAUACACAAACUCUCACCUUGGCAAGUCAUAGGAUAGUUAGUGGCAGGAAAGCCAAAACAUUGUAACAUGUAGCUUCAUGUUAAUACCAUAUACUUGCUCUGGAAUGAUAAAACCUGUAGAGAAAAGCCUGGCGUAAAAAUAUGGUUCACUUUGACUCAGGAAAUUAAUGUAAUCUAAAUGCUCCCAAAUGCUACAAAAUCCCUUUAUUGGGUGUGGCUAGAAAUCUAGAAUUGGAUGUCUUAAAAGACGCAAAUUGUGGUUAUUUCAAAAAGACAAAUGAUGUGAUAAAACAGUCUCUGACUUCACUGCCAGAACGGACAAGAAGCUGGAGGCAAGAAGUAAGACUUGUUAGAUUUCUGAUGUUCAGCUGCUGGAAAACUGAUUUUAAAAAAUGUUUUAAUGGUCUAAUGAUAAUAGAUUUCUAAGUAUAAAUUUUAACAAUAAAUGCAUGUGGCUGAUUAUGACAAAGUGUGUUUCCUAGAAAGAUCCAGAAGAGCAUAAAAAUGUAAAGAAAAAAAAAAAAAAGGACACAGAAAUCGAAGAUUGGGGUUUUCACAAGGAGAGUUUAAGCAUUAAAUGGAGACUAAGAGCAGUCAGUAGUUGUGUUUGCAGCUCUAAUUUCAGUAAGUGACUUGGAGCCUGCUGUUAAACAAUCUCAUGUAGCUCUUACUGGGGAAAGGGAGAUACUGCUCUGUGUAAAUAAAACUUGAAGCAAUUUGCAGUUCUCUGAUACCUUGACAAAUGCCAAAGCAUAGAGAUACUACAGGCAAAGGUGUAUGAGCACUAUAGGAGAAGCAAGACUGCCCAGUCAAAAAAAAAUCUUCCUUUUCUCUUUCUCUGUGCUCUAAUGCUUUGCUACCUUCUGACAUUACGGUCACCAUGUGUGCUAUGGUUAGGUAUUUUUCCUACAAAAGAGCAAACUCAUGGAUAUAAAACCAAGCAAGUAGAUUUUUACAAGGAUUUUUCACCUGUUCUCUUCCCUUGUCUUGUUCCUGAAAUACUUGGCUGUCCUUUAGGUAACCUUACUGGCAAAAUAACAACAGGCAGCCUAAAAGUAAAUAUUAAUGGCAAAAAAAAAAAAAGAAAAAGGUCAAAAGUAGAAACCAGUUUCUGACUCUGAUUACACUGAUACAAAUUUAGUAUAAUCUUAAUGAAUAAUUUAAACCUCUGGGAUAUGAAUAAAUUAAUUGUAAUAUUACAGUUGGUUUAAUAUAGGUUAUUUAUUCUGUGCACCAAAAAUGCUACUGUUCAUAAAGUAAUGCAAGAAGAUUUGCAUGAAGAAGUUUGAAUAGAUUAGUCAGUCAAUUAUAUUGCCGAAAAAAAUUGAAAUUACAUAUGAUAUUUAUUCAUUUCUAUGUUACUCCAGCCCAAGUUGGUAGUGCUGUGGACUCAUUUUUCAUUUCAAUAACUCUUCAAUGAAACAGUCCCACAGCAAUAGGAGCAAUAGUUAAGAGUCCUAGCCCUAAACCAGCAACUUUUUGAAUUAUUAGCAGAGUUUGAGAAAUAAUCACAGGUAAGGAAUCUUGCUUGGUUCUGUGUUUAAGUAACUGUGGAGUCUGCAAGCCCUAGGUUUAGGGCUUUAGGGUUCUUCUCGUACAAGCUUAACAAAGCAUUUGACUCUGCUUGGUUUCUUUUUUUUUGUGAAAUGUAGAAAAUAGUGUUUUCCUGUAGCAAGGUGAUGUGAAGAUUUUUUGAAGAAAAAGUUCACAGUUGUGAUCUGGAUUAACCCUCCACUGCUUGGGACACUGUGGAAAUACCUUCAAGAGAUGGAUUAGAAGUUGUACCUUCAAGCCCCUGCUGAGAAUCUGAGAGGAGGCAAACACUUAAGAAAUCUAGUCCAAUUCCACAUAAUGUCUAGAUUUCUGGGAUGAGCUGAAUCUUUGGAUUUUUGUGACUUCGGUGUUGUACGUUUUAUGAGGAUUACAGUUGCAACUAAAGUUGUAAUACAUGUGUUUCUAGAAUUAAUAUUGUUCACAGAGUAUUCUAAUAUUUAUCCCUCAUAUUCAUGUUUUGCCUUUUUACUGAAUAAAAAUAGAAUCAAUACAGUUA